UACAGAGGGGGCAAGCGUUGUUCGGAAUCAUUGGGCGUAAAGGGCGCGUAGGCGGCCGUCCAAGUCGGGUGUGAAAUCCCUCGGCUCAACCGAGGAACUGCACUCGAUACUGGUUGGCUAGAGUCCGGGAGGGGAUGGUGGAAUUCCCAGUGUAGCGGUGAAAUGCGUAGAUAUUCGCAAGAACACCAGUGGCGAAGGCGGCUCACUGGCCCGGUACUGACGCUGAGGUGCGAAAGCGUGGGGAGCAAACGGG
This 253-nucleotide ribosomal RNA is filed under the name uncultured bacterium. RNAcentral's name for it is "partial 16S ribosomal RNA". It matches the Rfam family "Bacterial small subunit ribosomal RNA", at positions 524 to 776 of the family's 1533-position model. The record is from RNAcentral.